This 541-nucleotide long non-coding RNA is filed under the name Homo sapiens (human). RNAcentral describes it as "HSALNT0114089". The record is from RNAcentral. Lineage: Eukaryota; Metazoa; Chordata; Mammalia; Primates; Hominidae.
GCCAUGUAAGACGUGCCUUUCACCUUCUACCAUGAUUGUAAGGCCUCCCCUGCCACGUGGAACUGUGAGUCCAUUAAACCUCUUUUUCUUUAUAAAUUACCCAGUCUCAGGCAUGUCUUUAUCAGCAGUGUAAAAAUGGACUAAAACACAGUUCUUUCUGUUUGCUUCUCUUUAUGUUUCUAAUUAGCUUCCUCAACCUCUAUCUUUUCUCUAAUUCAUAGCUUCUAUUUAAUCUUUGGUUUGUUCCCUCAUUAUUUUGAUUUAUUGGUGCUGGUUCUUGCUGCUAGUGGUCUUAAACUGUACAAGGUGAACCUGGGUCGUGUGUAACAUGCAUGUUUGUUCCCUAGCCUGCAUCAGGACCACCUUCAUGAAUAUCCAUAGCUCCUGUUGAAUAUGUAUGUUUAGCUAACUCAUUCAUCAUAUAUCUUCUACCCCAAUCCCUUCUCCUUCAAAGUGCCUGUCUUUGGUGUAGCCCUCCCAGCUUGCCAGAUGGCCACCUUGCAGGUUGUAACCCUUUAUAAGAAAUAAAGUCUCCUUUUCC